This 1237-nucleotide long non-coding RNA is filed under the name Ananas comosus (pineapple). RNAcentral describes it as "long non-coding RNA (ACOM_LNC037718)". Lineage: Eukaryota; Viridiplantae; Streptophyta; Magnoliopsida; Poales; Bromeliaceae. The record is from RNAcentral.
UCCGUCCCGUUUGGUUAUCUCUUUUCCAUUGCUUGAAUAAUUAGUAAACUUUCAUUACGGUUCAGUUUCAUUCGGUACUUGAAUAUUCAGUUUUCUGUUGGGUUUUCGUGAUAAAAAGAGAUUUAUGGACUUUUCAAGUAAAAUGGUUUUCUACCCCUCGUGGUAGCGCUUGUUUUGAAAAGAAAAAGGGUUUUCAUAUUCGAUACAGUUUUCGAUGGUUUUCUACCCCUCGUGGUAGCAUUUUAAAAGAUAAAAGUUUCUGUGUGGGAAACAAUUUAUUUAAAAAGGAGCUUUCAAAUGGAUUACUGAGACUUAGCAUUUCAAAACUCGUUUCCGGGUGGGAAACAUUUCAAACGAUAGUUCUGGAUUUAUGUUUAAAGCUUGAAAUACUGUCGCGUUGUGAAUGGUGAAUGUAUGAACGUCUGCAUGUGCAGUUGAGUUUGUGUGUUCAUAUGGUUGUGGUUGUAUUCUGGUUGUACUCUGAUUGUCUAUCUGUACUUGUGCGACGCCGUGCAAAUACAGGGGAGACUCUGUCCGUGUGAACAGUGGAUUCCCUGUAUUUGUGGCGGAUCUGACAUACCCUGGGGUCAGGUAUUUCAAAAAAAAAAAAAAAAAAAUUUAGUCGUUUCCGCUGUCUUUCCAAACCGAAAAGGGACCCCGGGGCGUGACAAUAAUUUUUCAUGUUUCACUUUAUAACCGGCUGCCAAACAAUAUAACCAGCCAAAGAAUCGACCUAAAAGGUCACUUUUGUAAAAAUCACUUUUGUAGAAGUCACUUUUGUAAAAAUGACUUUUUUCAUUUCAACUACUUUUGAGCAACCAAACAUGUCCUAAACAAAACUACCAUGCGAUCAACUUGGUAGAAAAGAUAUUCAUUAACAUUAAUGGUAUGUUUGGCUCAUGAUUGCGACGAGAAUGAAAAAUAUAAUUAGAUUGUGUUGGAAUAGAAAAUGAAAUAAUGAAUCAUCCAAAAAUAUUUGGUUCAUUAUCGGAAUGAUAAUCGGAAUAGACACAAUAAUGAAAUUUGGAACAGAUAUUUAGGAUUUUUGAGGGAGAGUUUUGGUUCAGAGGGAGGAGAGUGACGAAGGGAGAUGAGAAGGAGAAGUUUGUGAGAGAGAGUUUUGAAUGGUUUACUUUGAAAUUGACCAAUACGAAAUUCAAAGUCAGAUUAAGUCAUAAUGGGAUUGUGCUAGUCCCAUUUCAAAUUAAUUAGUAGAAUGAAAAUCGAAAUUUUAUUU